CAAAAAGUAGCUUAAGAAAAGCAUCUGACCUACACCCAGAAAAUAUUGCCGUCAAUCUUUUUGA
This 64-nucleotide transfer RNA is filed under the name Trilepida macrolepis (big-scaled blind snake). RNAcentral's name for it is "tRNA-Val". It matches the Rfam family "tRNA". From Rfam's summary of the family: Transfer RNA (tRNA) molecules are approximately 80 nucleotides in length. Their secondary structure includes four short double-helical elements and three loops (D, anti-codon, and T loops). Lineage: Eukaryota; Metazoa; Chordata; Lepidosauria; Squamata; Leptotyphlopidae. The record is from RNAcentral.